UACAGAGGGUGCGAGCGUUAAUCGGAGUUACUGGGCGUAAAGGGCGCGCAGGCGGUUGGACAAGGGUAGUGUGAAAUCCCCGGGCUUAACCCGGGAACAGCAUUACAGACUGUCUGGCUGGAGUACUGUAGAGGGCAGUGGAAUUUCCGGUGUAGCGGUGAAAUGCGUAGAGAUCGGAAGGAACACCAGUGGCGAAGGCGGCUGUCUGGACAGAUACUGACGCUGAGGCACGAGAGCGUGGGGAGCAAACAGG
RNAcentral lists this ribosomal RNA (253 nucleotides) under uncultured bacterium. Its description in RNAcentral is "partial 16S ribosomal RNA". It matches the Rfam family "Bacterial small subunit ribosomal RNA", at positions 524 to 776 of the family's 1533-position model. The record is from RNAcentral.